This 253-nucleotide ribosomal RNA is filed under the name uncultured Pasteuria sp. Its description in RNAcentral is "partial 16S ribosomal RNA". It matches the Rfam family "Bacterial small subunit ribosomal RNA", at positions 524 to 776 of the family's 1533-position model. The record is from RNAcentral. Lineage: Bacteria; Bacillati; Bacillota; Bacilli; Caryophanales; Pasteuriaceae.
GACGAACCGUCCGAACGUUAUUCGGAAUCACUGGGCUUACAGAGUUCGUAGGCGGUCCAGCAAGUUGGGUGUGAAAUCCCUCGGCUCAACCGAGGAACUGCGCUUGAUACUGCUGGACUCGAGGGAGAUAGAGGAGUGCGGAACUGAUGGUGGAGCGGUGAAAUGCGUUGAUAUCAUCAGGAACACCGGUGGCGAAGGCGGCACUCUGGGUCUCUCCUGACGCUGAGGAACGAAAGCUAGGGUAGCGAACGGG